This is a long non-coding RNA of Misgurnus anguillicaudatus (oriental weatherfish), 1036 nucleotides long. RefSeq lists it as uncharacterized. NCBI's taxonomy places the organism in Eukaryota, Metazoa, Chordata, Actinopteri, Cypriniformes, Cobitidae. The record is from RefSeq and is a predicted model, not a curated record.
UUGUAGGUCGUAUACUGCUUUCGAGCAGAAAGUCUGCUUGUAAAACACAGACAGCCAGCUCCAAAUAUACGAAUGGUUGCGUUAAAUCCUGGGAGCUGAAACAAACAGCUUGGAGGCCUCUAGUAAAUUAGAUCUUAGUAUUCGCAGACGAAAAAGUGUUUCGAGAAAGAUGGCUGAUGAAGAUUACAUUUAGAAGAAAACUGACCAUGGAAAUGAAACAGAUAAACAUCAAGGUUUCUUGUGGGCGGUGCUUGGCUUCCUUGCCUCUCCUGACAACAUGCUCCGAUUCAAGUGCUGCUUGACUGAACGGUGCAUCUCAAGUUCACACAAAACUGGGGAAGCAGGUUUAAUCAGUGAUCUGUAAGCCUGAAUACUUUCAGCCUGGACACAGGGUCACAACGCCUACCGUUAACAACCGCAGCACAAAUCUGAGGUCCAACUGGACCCAAUCAUCGUAGGCUUGUCCUCCUGAUGCAGGUCAAGGACCAUGAUGCAAUUUCUCAGCGUGGCCGGAUGAUAGUUUUUCAGUUUGAAAGAUAUCCAGAGCUGCGCUGGUGUGCGACGCAUCAGCAUGACAGGACUCGGCAAAGGUCAGCCUCGUAUAUCUCGGGCCUUCUGUGACAGAUACUUUGAUGAUUAUUUAUAAAACGUGCACAGCGGGAAGAGACCUGUAGAAUAAAAUGAAUUCCCCACCUCGGCGGCAGACACUGGCCAAUGGGAAAGCCAACAGGUUUAGGUCUUGGAGUCUUUUUGAAAGGUCUGGGAUGUCUGGCUUCCCAGCGGCAUCUACAUGAGUCCAGAUUCCAAUUACCCGAAGCUACAUCCCCUCUGACGUUCACAAAAGCCUUUGUUAUCGCUCUGCCCACAAACACAGCCCGUCCGCGCUUAGCCUUGGAAUUGGCAGGAUUGCUGGUCUAGCUUUGGUACCUCUGAGAGGAGAUGGAUGGAUCCAGUGCAUGGGUAACUCCUGGCAAACCUCCCAGAUUUUGGAAUUGAGCAGAAAUGUUCGAUUGGAGAUGGGUUCCUCGGCGGGGAU